This 72-nucleotide transfer RNA is filed under the name Eschrichtius robustus (grey whale). It matches the Rfam family "tRNA". Rfam says of the family: Transfer RNA (tRNA) molecules are approximately 80 nucleotides in length. Their secondary structure includes four short double-helical elements and three loops (D, anti-codon, and T loops). Further hydrogen bonds mediate the characteristic L-shaped molecular structure. tRNAs have two regions of fundamental functional importance: the anti-codon, which is responsible for specific mRNA codon recognition, and the 3' end, to which the tRNAs corresponding amino acid is attached (by aminoacyl-tRNA synthetases). tRNAs cope with the degeneracy of the genetic code in two manners: having more than one tRNA (with a specific anti-codon) for a particular amino acid; and 'wobble' base-pairing, i.e. permitting non-standard base-pairing at the 3rd anti-codon position. Lineage: Eukaryota; Metazoa; Chordata; Mammalia; Artiodactyla; Eschrichtiidae. The record is from Rfam by way of RNAcentral.
UCCCUGGUGGUCCAGUGGUUAGGACACGGCACUUUCACUGCUGUGGCCCGGGUUCAAUCCCUGGUCAGGGAA